UUACUGCUGAAAGGGAUGCUGUCCGGGAAAAUACACAGGCUCAAGAAACUACUGCUGAAGGAAGAAAGGAGAUCGGUACUGCUGAAGGAAGAAUGAACCUCGGUACUGCUGAAGGAAGAAUGAACCUUGGUACUGCUGGAGGAAGAAUAAACCUCGGUACUGCUGAAGGAAGAAAGGAGCUCAGUCGCAUUAUUGCUCAGAAGGUGCCCCCUUGUCAUUAUCAAGAAUGGAAGCCUCUUCACAUUCCGCAGC
Molecule: long non-coding RNA, 252 nt
Filed under: Triticum aestivum (bread wheat)
Lineage: Eukaryota; Viridiplantae; Streptophyta; Magnoliopsida; Poales; Poaceae
Description: long non-coding RNA (TAES_LNC018125)
Source: RNAcentral